Molecule: non-coding RNA, 1467 nt
Organism: Phoenix dactylifera (date palm)
Lineage: Eukaryota; Viridiplantae; Streptophyta; Magnoliopsida; Arecales; Arecaceae
Source: RefSeq, a predicted model, not a curated record
AGCUCCACCCUCCACCUUGCCUGGAACGACUAAGCAUCAGGGGUUACUUCGGCCGUGAGUUCCGCAAGUGGAUGCAGAGACAUCUUCAUUAACAUCAAUUCUUUUUUCAAAUUUGAGGCACCUGGAGCUAAUUAACUGCAAUUACUGUGAGCGGCUUCCACCUUGCGGGCUGCUGCCUCAUCUAGAACGUCUUGACGUUAGGGGUGCUGCAUCAGUCAUAGAUGUUGGACCUGAAUUUUUGGUCGGCGGCAGAGCUGCAGUAGAUUCUUCCAAGUAUGCAUUCCCCAAGCUAGAGACACUACAGUUCUCACAUAUGCGUAAUUGGCAGGAAUGGUAUUGGGAUAAAGGAACACAAGCAAUGCCAUGUCUAAAGGACCUGCACCUUUUGCUCUGCCCAAGUUGAUGUCUCUUCCCAAGGGUCUCCUGCUCCACGCAACCUCCCUCACAACAUUGACGAUCUGUGAUGCGAACAGACUAACGACAAUUGAUAACAUCCGUUCGCUCAAAGAAUUGAAUAUAACGGCCAAUCCUAACCUGGAGAAAGUUUCAGACCUCCCUAUGCUCACAACUCUCGAUGUUGUGUACUGCCCAAAAUUGCAAGCGGUGGAGAAUCUUCAAUCCUUGAAAAAUGAUACAUCUGAUCGAUUACGACAUGAAAUCUCUCCCGUCAUACUUACUGAAAGGAGUACAUACAACUCAUCUGGAGGACCUGGAGAUCCACUGCAAUAUGGGAUUGAUGAGAAAAAUUUGCCGAAAGGCCAACCCAGAGUGGCAAAUAAUCCAAGGCAUCCAGCAGGUGCAUGUAUACUCACAGAAUAGAUCGGUGCAUGUUGUCUAUAACAAGUUCCCCUACAGUUUCACUACAAAUUUUGAAUAACACCACCGCCAGCAGCAGCGGCAGUUCUGAUAUGCCCUCAAGUAGCAGCGGCACUGCUCUCUAAUCUGUGCCUCCUCUGCACUCCCUUUCAACCAUGGUUUCUGUUCUUUCCAGCUACUGGGGCGUUCCCUUUUUUGUCUUGGGCUUCUGCUUAGGUAUGGUGACAAUCAGUGUCUUCAUGUUGUUAAGAGUCCCCCAUUGCUGAAUAAAUAUCUGCUUAUGGAGGAUUUUGGCUUUAAGUUCCGGGCUGUACAGGUAUUAGAUUAUAUAUUGAUUGCUAGGCCUGAGUGCAUGUUGGAAAAGGAUAUUGGGAAAAAAGUAGAAAGCUCACUAUCUUCUUGUGCUGAUUCUCGACUAAAGAUGCAAGCAUUACAGAACCUGUAUGAAUCUUCUGGAUGCGGAAAGCCAGCUGGGUGUGGACUCUAUCAAUAAGAUGCAAGUAAAUAUCCAGAAGAUGCUACAAACAGAGUGCCUGAGGCUGCUGGUGCAGGUCACACUAACAUCUGUGGGGGAAUUGUUCAAUUGUAUUGGAACAGUAUUUUGGAAAGAUGCUUGGAUGUGAGGGAACAAGUUCGUCCGUCAGCUCGUAA